RNAcentral lists this ribosomal RNA (427 nucleotides) under uncultured bacterium. Its description in RNAcentral is "partial 16S ribosomal RNA". It matches the Rfam family "Bacterial small subunit ribosomal RNA", at positions 355 to 774 of the family's 1533-position model. The record is from RNAcentral.
UGGGGAAUAUUGCACAAUGGGCGCAAGCCUGAUGCAGCCAUGCCGCGUGUAUGAAGAAGGCCUUCGGGUUGUAAAGUACUUUCAGCGGGGAGGAAGGUGUUGUAGUUAAUAACCACAGCAAUUGACGUUACCCGCAGAAGAAGCACCGGCUAACUCCGUGCCAGCAGCCGCGGUAAUACGGAGGGUGCAAGCGUUAAUCGGAAUUACUGGGCGUAAAGCGCACGCAGGCGGUCUGUCAAGUCGGAUGUGAAAUCCCCGGGCUCAACCUGGGAACUGCAUCCGAAACUGGCAGGCUUGAGUCUUGUAGAGGGGGGUAGAAUUCCAGGUGUAGCGGUGAAAUGCGUAGAGAUCUGGAGGAAUACCGGUGGCGAAGGCGGCCCCCUGGACAAAGACUGACGCUCAGGUGCGAAAGCGUGGGGAGCAAACA